Molecule: ribosomal RNA, 642 nt
Filed under: Gymnobracon insignis
Lineage: Eukaryota; Metazoa; Arthropoda; Insecta; Hymenoptera; Braconidae
Description: eukaryotic LSU rRNA
Rfam family: Eukaryotic large subunit ribosomal RNA
Source: RNAcentral
CCUGAGAAACCCAAAAGAUCGMAAGGGGAGAUUCAUCGYCAGCUCGYUUUGUAUAUACAUAKGUUAUGAUGCGAGUUACCAUUUGUGUGGUAUUGCUCGUACGUACUUGUGCAUUUAUUUGCAAAAUAUGGUCGGCGUGCACUUCUCCCCUAGUAGAACAUCGCGACCCGUUGGAUGUCGGUUUACKUGCCAAGGGCAAAGCCUUUAAUUUUUCUAUAAUCUUAAAGAUCCUUGGUGUAAAUUGACCGGCAGUCCGGCGGUACUCKUAUGGUAUUUAGCCGCAAUUUAAUUUGCGUCCAUAGCCGUCGCAAGUGAGGCUAGUUUUUUGCAGUACGGACUUUGAGCCGUCGCGAAAAUUGGCCAGCUGUUGGCUGUMCGGAAAACUCGGACAGGCUAAUAAAUCGUAUACUGUCUACCGGUCGGCGAUGCUACUGCUUUGGGUACUUUCAGGACCCGUCUUGAAACACGGACCAAGGAGUCUAACAUGUMCGCGAGUUAUUGGGAUAUUUUGUAAAUUAAACCUAAAAGCGCAAUGAAAGUAAAGGUCGGCCUUGCGUCGACUAAGGGAGGAUARGUUGUGUUGAGAUACAACUUCGCACUCCCGGGGCGUCUCAUUCUCAUUAUGCGAGGAGGCGCACCUAG